RNAcentral lists this transfer RNA (66 nucleotides) under Phoxocampus belcheri. Its description in RNAcentral is "tRNA-Cys". Lineage: Eukaryota; Metazoa; Chordata; Actinopteri; Syngnathiformes; Syngnathidae. The record is from RNAcentral.
AGUCCUGAGGUGUUCCACAUAUUAGAUUGCAAAUCUUAAGUAGCAGGUUUACGUCUGCCGGGGCUU